AUGGAUCACGCGGACAUUGCGGUUCCAGGCGCGCCCACCACGCCCACCUGACGGCUGCUCGCGAGGUUGUGUCAGCC
This 77-nucleotide small RNA is filed under the name Xanthomonas floridensis. Its description in RNAcentral is "sX9 sRNA". It matches the Rfam family "Xanthomonas sRNA sX9". The record is from RNAcentral. Lineage: Bacteria; Pseudomonadati; Pseudomonadota; Gammaproteobacteria; Lysobacterales; Lysobacteraceae.